GGGCAUAUAGCUCAGCUGGCUAGAGCGCAUGAUUCACAUUCAUGAGGUCGGAGGUUCAAGUCCUCCUAUGCCCACCA
RNAcentral lists this transfer RNA (77 nucleotides) under Patescibacteria group bacterium. RNAcentral's name for it is "tRNA-Val". It matches the Rfam family "tRNA". Rfam says of the family: Transfer RNA (tRNA) molecules are approximately 80 nucleotides in length. Their secondary structure includes four short double-helical elements and three loops (D, anti-codon, and T loops). The record is from RNAcentral.